RNAcentral lists this ribosomal RNA (445 nucleotides) under uncultured bacterium. RNAcentral's name for it is "bacterial SSU rRNA". It matches the Rfam family "Bacterial small subunit ribosomal RNA", at positions 354 to 796 of the family's 1533-position model. The record is from RNAcentral.
GUAAGGAAUAUUGGACAAUGGGCGCAAGCCUGAUCCAGCCAUCCCGCGUGCAGGAUGACGGCCCUACGGGUUGUAAACUGCUUUUGUUAGGGAAGAAACCCCUGCUUUUAAGCGGGGCUGACGGUACCUUUCGAAUAAGCACCGGCUAACUCCGUGCCAGCAGCCGCGGUAAUACGGAGGGUGCAAGCGUUAUCCGGAAUUACUGGGUUUAAAGGGUGCGUAGGCGGCGCAGUAAGUCAGAGGUGAAAGCCCGUGGCUCAACCAUGGAAAUGCCUUUGAUACUGUUGCGCUUGAAUCAGGUUGAGGACAGCGGAAUGUGGCAUGUAGCGGUGAAAUGCAUAGAUAUGCCAUAGAACACCGAUUGCGAAGGCAGCUGUCUGGGCCUGUAUUGACGCUGAGGCACGAAAGCGUGGGGAGCGAACAGGAUUAGAAACCCGAGUAGUCC